Molecule: ribosomal RNA, 910 nt
Filed under: uncultured Bacteroidota bacterium
Lineage: Bacteria; Pseudomonadati; Bacteroidota
Description: bacterial SSU rRNA
Rfam family: Bacterial small subunit ribosomal RNA
Source: RNAcentral
CUACACAUGCAAGUCGAGGGGUAACGUAAGUGCUUGCACUUGACGACGACCGGCGCACGGGUGCGGAACGCGUAUGGAACCUACCUUUAUCAGGGGGAUAGCCCAUGGAAACGUGGAUUAAUACCCCAUAGUAUUAAAUCAUUGCAUGAUGAUUUAAUUAAAGAAUUUCGGAUAGAGAUGGCCAUGCGUAUCAUUAGCUAGUAGGCGAGGUAACGGCUCACCUAGGCGACGAUGAUUAGGGGUCCUGAGAGGGAGAUCCCCCACACUGGUACUGAGACACGGACCAGACUCCUACGGGAGGCAGCAGUGAGGAAUAUUGGGCAAUGGAGGCAACUCUGACCCAGCCAUGCCGCGUGCAGGAAGACGGCCCUAUGGGUUGUAAACUGCUUUUAUACAGGAAGAACACCACCCACGUGUGGGUGACUGACGGUACUGUAAGAAUAAGGACCGGCUAACUCCGUGCCAGCAGCCGCGGUAAUACGGAGGGUCCAAGCGUUAUCCGGAAUCAUUGGGUUUAAAGGGUCCGUAGGCGGGCUAAUAAGUCAGAGGUGAAAGUUUGCAGCUCAACUGUAAAAUUGCCUUUGAUACUGUUAGUCUUGAGUUAUAGUGAAGUGGUUAGAAUAAGUGGUGUAGCGGUGAAAUGCAUAGAUAUCACUUAGAAUACCGAUUGCGAAGGCAGAUCACUAACUGUAUACUGACGCUGAGGGACGAAAGCAUGGGUAGCGAACGGGAUUAGAUACCCUCGUAGUCCAUGCCGUAAACGAUGUGUGUUAGACGUUGGAAAUUUAUUUUCAGUGUCGCAGCGAAAGCGAUAAACACACCGCCUGGGGAGUACGACCGCAAGGUUAAAACUCAAAUGAAUUGACGGGGACCCGCACAAGUAGUGGAGCAUGUGGUUUAAUUCGAAGAU